GGAAGCCAUUAUAAAUGUGCCGCCGAAGAAACUCUAUUUCUUUUACAAUCAAGAUGCACAUGACAAAUCACUCAUUAGUUCCUGGGUUCCGUAAGUGUUUAAUUUGCUCUAACUUCAAAAUCCCCACUCUAGUCAUUGUGCGAUGUCUUAUCUCCUAUUCUAUUUUGUAUCAUGCAGGAUGAAGGUUCAAACUUGUCGGAGGAAAGGAUACUCUGACAUCGACUUCAUGGACCCGGAUGUUAUAAACUGUAAGAGAUAAACCAAAUCAGACCUUGAAGAAUAUAUAUAAAAGUUCUUGGACAAUCAACAUUACAAGAAGUACAUACUUCUGCCGAC
Molecule: long non-coding RNA, 336 nt
Filed under: Setaria viridis
Lineage: Eukaryota; Viridiplantae; Streptophyta; Magnoliopsida; Poales; Poaceae
Description: long non-coding RNA (SVIR_LNC006650)
Source: RNAcentral